Molecule: ribosomal RNA, 266 nt
Filed under: uncultured bacterium
Lineage: Bacteria
Description: partial 16S ribosomal RNA
Rfam family: Bacterial small subunit ribosomal RNA
Source: RNAcentral
GUCCACGCCGUAAACGAUGAAUGCUAGAUGUCGCGGGUAUUGACCCCUGCGGUGUCGCAGUUAACGCAUUAAGCAUUCCGCCUGGGGAGUACGGCCGCAAGGCUAAAACUCAAAGGAAUUGACGGGGGCCCGCACAAGCGGAGGAGCAUGUGGUUCAAUUCGACGCAACGCGCAGAACCUUACCUGGGGUUAAAUCCACUAGAAUCCUGUAGAGAUAUGGGAGUGCUCGCAAGAGAGCUAGUGAGACGGUGCUGCAUGGCUGUCGU